UGUUCGUCAAUGAUUUGUGGAGCUUUGCAAAUUGCAAUAGCGAUAAAAUUCUACUGUUUGGAUUAAUGUUUUAUAAAUGAUAACGAUUUUAUAAAAAUAUAUACAUAAUUACAGACAGAAUAUGAAUAUUAUCAUGCAAUAUUAUAUUUAAUAAAAAGCAAGAUAUUAUACUGCAGGAUCACUCAAACCGUGCAUUAAUAUUUUACAUCUUUACGUUGAGUAAGAUACCACUUGUGACAUUUUACACCAACAAAAAAGGGGCAUUUUAUCUCGACACUAGAAAAAAUAAUGUUGAAAAUUUCCAUAUCAAACAUGUGCUAUUAAUAAUCAUUUUAGAGAUUAUAAAAUUUAUUUGAUAUUGAACUUCAAUGUCACCCACUGUGAUAUAAAGCCUACAAAGGAUUAAUAUGAAUUCUAAAUCAUGUAAAACAAUAACGGAGCAGUAUUUUUUCAAUUUACCUCGAUAAAUCUAAAGUUUUUUAAAAUAAAUGAGCAGCCAUUGUGAUAUGGUCGUUGGCACACAAAUAAAUAAUCUAAGCGUGUCACUAACGUCGUUCAUGCAUAAAUGAGAAAAUUAUUAGUAAUUGACAUUUUACCUGAUAUAGCGUCUUCCCCCUGACUUACCCUGUUGAAAACUUAAAGUGCUUAUAAAAAAAAAAAAUAAAAAUAAAAAUUUUUUUAUCGCUUCAAUAUUUUUCUCUUUGUCAUAUAUUACAUAAAUGCCAUACGUUCCUAGACAACAUAUAGUUAAAAAUUGUUAUAUUUUUAAAAGUUAUACUUUGAUCUUUUGCAAAAAUAUAAAACACAAAGCUAUAAAAUUUUGAUUUUUUGCAAAAGUAUCUGUAACAUGUCUUUUAGACAUCUUUAAAAAGUUGUACCUCCCGAUUUCAGACUUUAUAUUGUUUGGAUUUCCCUUACAACAUAUAUAAAAACAUACCACUUCUUGAAAUAACUUUUGGUCCAGACAGAAAAUUGCCGCUAAAUUUUUAUGACUUUCAAAUGCAAUAUAGAACAAUCUGUACAUUUUUCACAAUUUUUUUCAUUAUUUUAAAAAUGGGUGUAUUAUAUGUUUAACCGAUCGAUCACAUGUGCUCGUGGUAGAAAAGAAAAGAGAAAUCUUCGGCGUUCUAAACGUGCGCGUUCGUAAACGCAGCACUCGGGCCAGCGAUUUUUAUAUCCGGGUGGGUUUGCGCUCUCGCCACCCUUGGUGAAAAUAAGUCCCGGUCUACAAUGAAUGUUGUAAGCCUUAAGCCGUAAGAAAUUGAUCAACCAUGAUCGAUUAUUCUCCUCAUAUUCAAUUAUGAUUGGUCAAUUUUUUACUACGUUUAAUAUUGUAAACCGGGACUUAAAGCGUAAAGCGAGGAUUGGAACGUCGGGACGUAAGGAUAGCGAUAUGGAAAGAGCGAUGAGAGCGUGAGCGAACUCUUUAAGAAGCGUAAGCUGGAACAUCGGAGCGUAAAGACGCUUGUAUGACGUUUGUAUGACGCUUGUAUGACGCUUCAAGGAGUUUUCUAUUUUUUUCCCGAGACGCGUCGCGACAACGUACGGCGCCGAGGGGUUUCCGUAAGCCUCAGAGAUCUCGAUAAACAACGGGGGCGGGUGUGGAGAGGUGCAUAUACCGGAGGGGGCAGAAGAUAAGCGCGGAAGUUAAAAGUAGCGAGGGCAGGCGAGCACCGCCGCCCGGCCGUGUGUGCCUCUCUACUCUAUCGUUCCACAAACAGCAGAACCGCCUUGCCGAGCAUCAUUUGUCAAGGCAGAAGCUACUCGACGUCCCGAUAAUUUUUUAUUAUGCAAGUAGGCCGCAAUAAAUCCUUAUCUAACCGCAUUUCCCGCCGCGGCGCGUCACACGAAUUACCGUUCGUGUUGCGCAAAAAGCACGACCCGAUUAGCGAUAUUCACCGUAAAUGGCGUCGCGAUGAUUGCGGAGGGAGGAAAAUUGCGGGAGCUCCAAUGUCGUUACGACGACGAUACUUAAGCCGGUAUUUAUAGUUAAUUCUUAUUUCAAGACAGUCUUAAGUAAUGUCUUAUGAAGCCAAUACUGCUCUUUAAUUGGCUGAUGACAUCUUAAGAUGGUACCUAAACUGAUUAUGAAUACCGGCCUUAGGGAUGUACGAUUUGGAUCGAUUUUUUAAAGAAUCGAUCUUCUUGACCCCAAAAAUCGAUUUUUUUUAUCUCAAUUAAAUUUGCAGAUUGAUUCUUUCGUGAAAAAAAUCAAAUUGAUAACAAGCGUAAUUAUUUAUUUUAUUUAUGGCUAAAGUUGCAUUCUGAAAUUCAGAAUGCAAGAAGUUCGAUUCUUGAAAACAUGCGAAUAACUUUCGCAUACAAAACUAGUAGUAUAGCGCAUAGCUAAUGAAAUUAUUUAAUAGCAUUUUUCCAUCGGCUAUUGUGUCACUUUUGUAUGCAAAAGUAUAUAUUAUAUUAAACGACAAAUAUAUUUAACGUUAUUUUUUUAUAAAUUAGCAGUGAUUUUUAUUUAAGUUAAGUUAGAUUAGAUUGAUUUUUUAAGAAUCGAUUAUUUGGCGCUCGAUUUUUUUCAUGAAUCGAUCUUCGUGAUUACGAUCCAGAUCGAUUUAAAAAGAAUCGAUCGGUCGAAUACUACAUCCCUACAUCCCUAACGAUCAUACUCGACGACGAUUGUGGUACGUGUGUGUCACUGGCGUCGCAUCACGCCAGAAGGACUCCGAAUGCGAUCUUUCGCGCAUACGCCGAAAAUCCGAGCUGGCCGCGCGUGAAUCCGCGCGCCGGCAUCGAGCGAUAUGCCGGCGCGUAUCCGUUGCGCAAGGUCAAGGCCUCCGCGAGACCCGGCGAGUGACGCGGCGCGUUGCGCCGCGCCACGUCUCUCUCUCUCUCUCCCUCUCUCUCUUUCUAUCUCUCUCUCUCUUCGGCUUAAGAUCGGCGUCAGUCAGGGCUUCGCGUGGCCGUCGCCGAGACGUCGAGACGCUCGCGCGUCCAAGUGAAACGCGUCUCGAUUACGAGCGGGCAAAUAGUGUAGGUAUUCGUCGCGAAGAAACACCAUCCGUGCUUCGCGUUCUCCUGACAAGCGUGAAACAUCUUCGGAGCAGUGCACGAUCCGCAAAAGACGCGUAAUAACGCGAGAGUAUUUCUGGCGAGAGAGAGAGAGAGAGAGAGAGAGAGAGAGAGAGAAGGAGAGAGAAUUUCCGCAGAAACACACGGGGUGCAUCGGCGUAACAAAACGCGCGGCGACUUGCAGCGUGCGACGCCGCUGCGCUGCUGAGGGUUUUUCCCGUUCGCACGGACCGUGAUUCGACGCGUGAGAGAGAGAGGGCCCAGUCCAGGAUUCCCUCUAUCCCAAACCGGAAAGCGCACGAUCGCAGCUGAGUUUUCUUUCGUUCGGUCCUCACCAAAUACCAAGUGUUGCGAGGGACAGUUCCUAACGAUCCGCGACAGCGAGGUGUCUCAUGGUGCCGCCGAUUCCUCCACGCGUGGGACAUGGACCGCCACCAGCGGCAGCUGUCAUUGUAGCGCGCGUGACGUCUUGGCGCCUAAGCGGUAUGAGUCACGCUUAAUUAUUGGGUUUGACGUUUUAGUGAUUUGUAGCCGCGACACUUGUUAUCCCUCAUUUCGGAUCGCGCCAGUCGCAGCCGGGUCCAUCCAGUUGGAGAAUUAGCCAUUCUUCGCGCGCCAUCGAACCGGUCGGCAGAAGGUUUUCUUUUCCUCCUCGUGUCUCGUUACGACCGUCUUGAAAUUACGUUCGUUUUAAGCUCGUGAAAUCG
Long non-coding RNA from Solenopsis invicta (red fire ant), 3734 nucleotides. RefSeq lists it as uncharacterized. Lineage: Eukaryota; Metazoa; Arthropoda; Insecta; Hymenoptera; Formicidae. The record is from RefSeq and is a predicted model, not a curated record. The transcript has 2 exons.